GUCCACGCCAUAAACGAUGAAUACUAGGUGUUGGAGGAUUUAAACCCUUCGGUACCGCAGCUAACGCGUUAAGUAUUCCGCCUGGGGAGUACGACCGCAAGGUUAAAACUCAAAGGAAUUGACGGGGGCCCGCACAAGCAGCGGAGCGUGUGGUUUAAUUCGAUGCAACGCGAAACAACCUUACCUGGAUUUGACGUGUCCGUAGUAGUGAAGCGAAAGCGGAACGACCCUUCGGGGAGCGGAUGCAGGUGCUGCAUGGCUGUCGU
This 266-nucleotide ribosomal RNA is filed under the name uncultured bacterium. RNAcentral describes it as "partial 16S ribosomal RNA". It matches the Rfam family "Bacterial small subunit ribosomal RNA", at positions 793 to 1055 of the family's 1533-position model. The record is from RNAcentral.